AGUAUGCACUUCAGCAAUACAAUAUACUAAAAUUGGAACAAUACAGUGAAGAUUAGCAUGACCCCUGCACAAGGACAUGUAAAUUUGUGAAUAAUUCCAUAUUAAC
Molecule: small nuclear RNA, 106 nt
Organism: Manis pentadactyla (Chinese pangolin)
Lineage: Eukaryota; Metazoa; Chordata; Mammalia; Pholidota; Manidae
Source: RefSeq, a predicted model, not a curated record